This 238-nucleotide unclassified non-coding RNA is filed under the name Cortinarius sp. RNAcentral's name for it is "partial internal transcribed spacer region". The stretch from base 1 to 46 matches the Rfam family "Eukaryotic small subunit ribosomal RNA", at positions 1786 to 1831 of the family's 1831-position model. RNAcentral also lists the same sequence under 1 other name. Lineage: Eukaryota; Fungi; Basidiomycota; Agaricomycetes; Agaricales; Cortinariaceae. The record is from RNAcentral.
AAGUCGUAACAAGGUUUCCGUAGGUGAACCUGCGGAAGGAUCAUUAUUGAAAUAAACCUGAUGGGUUGUUGCUGGUUCUCUAGGGAGCAUGUGCACACCUUGUCAUCUUUAUAUCUCCACCUGUGCACUUUUUGUAGACCUUUCAGGUCUAUGUUGCUUCAUUUACCCCAAUGUAUGUUAAUAGAAUGUUGUGACUAUAUAAUAUAUACAACUUUCAGCAACGGAUCUCUUGGCUCUC